Molecule: long non-coding RNA, 485 nt
Organism: Pantherophis guttatus
Lineage: Eukaryota; Metazoa; Chordata; Lepidosauria; Squamata; Colubridae
Source: RefSeq, a predicted model, not a curated record
AACACAAAUUGCAUUUUACCCAGCAAAGAGCAAGCAUGAUCAGGAAGAACAAUAGGUUUUUAACAGUUGUACAUGCAGAAAGUCCAGAUUCAACCUUACCAACCCUGGUAAUAAAUUCUACCUAAGAUUUUGAAGAGUCCUGCUACCCUCCAGGCAGAAAAAUACUGAGAGUCUCAACAUCUUUUUUACAUCGUGGUGACCAAAACGGACCUUCUCUGACCUGAUCCUCUCUUCAUUCCACACCUCAAAAAUGUUCAGCAAUGGCCAUGCUGACUGAAAUUUUAGGGUAGUCAUUCUAUAACAACGGGUGCAAAAGCUAAGAAAGAAUGAACUAAGGAGGUCUGAUGCCAGCCAUGGACAGAUCAUCGGCUUACCUUCUUGUAAAUUGCAAAUAUUGUUCCUAUUGAGGCUAAACAGUCUAUAUUGGAAGAGCCAUCUAGUGGAUCAAAGCACACCACAUAUUUACCCUGAAAGGGGAGAAACAA